UCCAGCUUAUCGCUGGCGGUCUCCUGCGAGUUCCCAACUAAAUGAUGGCAACACAGGACAAGGGUUGCGCUCGUUGCGGGACUUAACCCAACAUCUCACGACACGAGCUGACGACAGCCAUGCAGCACCUGUGUUACGGUUCCCUUUCGGGCACUCUCACAUCUCUGCGAGAUUCCGUACAUGUCAAGGGUAGGUAAGGUUUUUCGCGUUGCAUCGAAUUAAUCCACAUAAUCCACCGCUUGUGCGGGUCCCCGUCAAUUCCUUUGAGUUUUAAUCUUGCGACCGUACUCCCCAGGCGGGGUGCUUAAUGCGUUAGCUGCGGCACGGAAGACGUCGAUAGCCUCCCACACCUAGCACCCAUCGUUUACGGCUGGGACUAC
RNAcentral lists this unclassified non-coding RNA (380 nucleotides) under uncultured bacterium. RNAcentral describes it as "contains 16S-23S intergenic spacer region". The record is from RNAcentral.